CAGUCGCCGCGGGAAUACAGAGGGUGCAAGCGUUAAUCGGAUUUACUGGGCGUAAAGGGCGCGUAGGUGGUUAUUUAAGUGAGAUGUGAAAGCCCCGGGCUUAACCUGGGAACUGCAUCUUAUACUGGGUAACUGGAGUGCAGUAGAGGGUAGUGGAAUUUCCGGUGUAGCGGUGAAAUGCGUAGAUAUCGGAAGGAACACCAGUGGCGAAGGCGGCUACCUGGACUGAGACUGACACUGAGGCGCGAGAGCGUGGGGAGCAAACAGGAUUAGAGACCCCCGUAGUCCCUGUCUCUUAUAA
RNAcentral lists this ribosomal RNA (301 nucleotides) under uncultured bacterium. RNAcentral describes it as "partial 16S ribosomal RNA". It matches the Rfam family "Bacterial small subunit ribosomal RNA", at positions 509 to 809 of the family's 1533-position model. The record is from RNAcentral.